Long non-coding RNA from Strongylocentrotus purpuratus (purple sea urchin), 1372 nucleotides. RefSeq lists it as uncharacterized. NCBI's taxonomy places the organism in Eukaryota, Metazoa, Echinodermata, Echinoidea, Camarodonta, Strongylocentrotidae. The record is from RefSeq and is a predicted model, not a curated record. The transcript has 3 exons.
AACAGCGGAGAGAAAAGAAGGAGAGAGAAAAUAAAGAGUUACAAGAAAUGAAAGCUAAAGCUCGACAAACAACUGAAGAAAACGAACGAAGAAGAAAGGAGGAAGAAGUUAAAGCCUUAAGAGAUAAUGCAUAUGAACAUGCCAGAAUUAAUGAGGCAUUUUUAAGAAGGCUAGAGGCAGGAAAGACACUUACACAGAGUAAGUUACUACAAUAAUAACAAGUCAACGCAAAGCAUAGCAUCCCCUCGCCGGGUACAAAUGGCCAAUAUUUAGCAAUGUUUGCAUAUUUAAUGAACUAUGACAUUUGACCUACAUACACCGAAAUGAAACUUAGGCUGUAUUUUGAUAAUAUGUACCAUCAUAUCAAAUUCCGUUAAAAUCCGUUAAACAUUAUUAAAGUUAUCGAACGGAAAUCACAUUUUCGAAUAAUUAGCUUUUUUCUGCAUAUUUAAUGAGCUUUGACCUUUGACCUAAAUACUCCGAAAUCAAGCUAAGGCUGUAUUUUAAUACCAUGUACCAUCGUAUGAAAUUGACUUAAAAUCUGUCAAAUAUUACUAAAGUUAUAUCGAACGGAAACCACAUCUUCAUUGUUCAAAGUUUGCCAUCAAGUAUGUUUCUUUUUUCUUCUCUCGACAGAAUAAUGAUUAGGGGUGCCCCCCUUCCAUUUCAGCAGCGCUCUCGACCAGUGGCGAAUCCACGUUUUCUCAGUGAGGGUGGUAAUUAGGGCCCUGUUUCAUAAAAACUUGUUAUCAAUAACAAGUUCUGAUAACUGUUAUAAGCUAAUGGGUAGCAGAUUUGCCAUACAAAUUUAGUAAAGAGAAAUUUAAUUGAUAACAAGUUUAAUGAAAAAGGAUCCAGGUUUAUGUGGGGAGCACAUAGAAAGAAAUAAAAACAAGAUAGUCUCAUGUUACACUUAUAUACCAUUCUGUGAGAUAGCGUAGCGAUAUAACGCAAAGUGCAUUUAGUAAUCUUGAGACAAUUUUUAUACAGUGUUAUUAAGAAUUGAAUGAGAAUUAUAUUAUAUACACAUUUUACUACACUUUCUCACACAAAAAAAGCAUUGUUGGGUGCCGAAAAUAUGCUGGGCAUCCCCUUAGGUAAUUUAAGCCGCUACCGUAAUAUGUAACAAUGAGGACAUCGCGAAGUUCAAAUCAUAUAGGAAACGCCAGGAAGCCAUCUCCAAACGACGGAAGCUCGCCGGUGAGCGGAAGUCCAUCCAGGAAGAUUUAGCAAAAGCAAAUCAAGACCAGCUUGCACAUGUAGGUUCCUCUGAGAAAGAAAAAGCAGCAAGGUCAAGAGAUGGUCGUAUUCUAUAGUGACUGACAAAAUCAACAACAAAGAUAAUUCAAUAUCCCCCAACUCUAAACUUAGA